UACAGAGGGGGCAAGCGUUGUUCGGAUUUACUGGGCGUAAAGCGCGUGUAGGCGGCUUUGCAAGUCGGAUGUGAAAGCCCACGGCUCAACCGUGGAAGUGCAUCCGAAACUGCAUGGCUUGAGUCUCGGAGAGGAAGGUGGAAUGCUUGGUGUAGAGGUGAAAUUCGUAGAUAUCAAGCAGAACACCUGCGGCGAAGGCGGCCUUCUGGACGAUGACUGACGCUGAGACGCGAAAGCGUGGGGAGCAAACAGG
This 253-nucleotide ribosomal RNA is filed under the name uncultured bacterium. RNAcentral describes it as "partial 16S ribosomal RNA". It matches the Rfam family "Bacterial small subunit ribosomal RNA", at positions 524 to 776 of the family's 1533-position model. The record is from RNAcentral.